GAAUCGUUAGCUCAGCUGGUUUAGAGCGCUGCCUUGACAGGGCAGAGGUCACUGGUUCGAAUCCAGUACGAUUCA
Molecule: transfer RNA, 75 nt
Filed under: Proteiniphilum sp.
Lineage: Bacteria; Pseudomonadati; Bacteroidota; Bacteroidia; Bacteroidales; Dysgonomonadaceae
Also listed under: 2 other names
Description: tRNA-Val
Rfam family: tRNA
About the family: Transfer RNA (tRNA) molecules are approximately 80 nucleotides in length.
Source: RNAcentral